This is a non-coding RNA of Schistosoma haematobium, 45 nucleotides long. Lineage: Eukaryota; Metazoa; Platyhelminthes; Trematoda; Strigeidida; Schistosomatidae. The record is from Rfam.
AUCCAGCUGACGAGUCCGAAACAAGACAAAACACGUGUCCUGGUU